UACGUAGGUGGCAAGCGUUAUCCGGAAUUAUUGGGCGUAAAGGGUGCGUAGGCGGUUUAUUAAGUCUAUGGUGAAAGUGCGGGGCUCAACUGUAAAAUUGCCAUUGAAACUGAUAUUCUUGAGUAUUGGAGAGGAAAGUGGAAUUCCUAGUGUAGCGGUGAAAUGCGUAGAUAUUAGGAGGAACACCAGUGGCGAAGGCGACUUUCUGGCCAAAGACUGACGCUGAGAGUGCGAAAGCGUGGGGAGCAAACAGG
Molecule: ribosomal RNA, 254 nt
Filed under: uncultured bacterium
Lineage: Bacteria
Description: partial 16S ribosomal RNA
Rfam family: Bacterial small subunit ribosomal RNA
Source: RNAcentral